CUCCUACGGGACGCAGCAGUGGGGAAUAUUGCACAAUGGGGGAAACCCUGAUGCAGCGACGCCGCGUGAGUGAAGAAGUAAUUCGUUACGUAAAGCUCUAUCAGCAGGGAAGAAACACUGACCUUACGGUCAGCAGACGGUACCUGAGUAAGAAGCCCCGGCUAACUCCGUGCCAGCAGCCGCGGUAAUACGGAGGAUGCGAGCGUUAUCCGGAUUUAUUGGGUUUAAAGGGUGCGCAGGCGGAGGUGCAAGUCAGCGGUCAAAUUGCGGGGCUCAACCCCGUACUGCCGUUGAAACUGCAUCCC
RNAcentral lists this ribosomal RNA (305 nucleotides) under uncultured bacterium. RNAcentral's name for it is "bacterial SSU rRNA". It matches the Rfam family "Bacterial small subunit ribosomal RNA", at positions 336 to 641 of the family's 1533-position model. The record is from RNAcentral.